RNAcentral lists this long non-coding RNA (5861 nucleotides) under Sus scrofa (pig). Its description in RNAcentral is "lncRNA (ENSSSCG00000059185.1)". The record is from RNAcentral. Lineage: Eukaryota; Metazoa; Chordata; Mammalia; Artiodactyla; Suidae.
UCUUAUUUACUUGAUUUUUCUUUUUAUUUUUUUCCUAUUAUUUGUUUGUUCCUAUCUUGCUAGUUUAAAUUCCUGGAUAACUUUAUUUAUAUUUUAAUUUAUUUUUUAUGUAAUGAUUUUUAUUUUUUUCUGUUAUAGCUGGUUUACAGUGUUCUGUCAAUUUUCUACUGUUUAGCAUGUUGACCCAGUUACACAUACAUGUAUACAUUGUUUUUUCUCACAUUAUUAUGCUCCAUUGUAAGUUAGCAGGCAGAGUUCCCAGUGCUACACAGCCGGAUCUCAUUGCUAGUCCAUUCCAAAGGCAAUAGUCUAUAUCUAUUAACCCCAAGCAACCAAUCCACCCCACUACCUCCUCUACCCCUUGGCAACCGCAAGUCUAUUCUCCAAGUCCAUGAUUUUCUUUUCUGUGGAAAUGUUCAUUUGUGCCUUAUAUUAGAUUCCAGAUAUAAGUGAUAUCAUAUGGUAAAUGUCUUUCUCUUUCUGACUUACUUCACUCAGGAUGAGAGUCUCUAGUUCUCUAGUUCAUGUUGCUGCAAAUAGCAUUCUUGGCCAUCUGUACAUCUUCCUGGGAAAAAUGUCUAUUCAGGUCCUUUGCCCAUUUUCUGUUGGGUUGAUGGCUUUUUUGCUGUUGAGUUGUAUAUGUUACUUGUAUAUUCUAGAGAUUAAGCCCUUGUCAGUUGCAUCAUUUGAAACUAUUUUCUCCCAUUCUGUAAGGGGCCCUUUUGGUUUCUUUUUUGCUCCUUUGCUGUGCAAAAAUUGUCAGUUUGAUUAGAUUCCAUUGUAUUAUUUUUGCUUUUAUUUCUGUUGCUUUGGGAGACUGAUCUGAGAAAACAUUUGUAAAGUCAAUGUCAGAGAAUGUUUUGCCUAUGUUCUCUUCUAGGAGUUUGAUGGUGUCUUCUUUUAUAUUUAAAUCUUUAAGCCAUUUUGAAUUUAUUUUUGUGCAUGGUUUGAGGGGUGUUCUGGUUUCAUUGAUUUGCAUGCAGCUAUCCAUGUUUCCCAGCACAGCUUGAUGAAAAGACUGUCUUUUUCCCAUUUUAUGUUCUUGCCUCUUUUGUCAAAGAUUAACUGACCACAGGUCUCUGGGUUUAUUUCUGGGUUCUCUAUUCUGUUCCAUUGGUCUGUAUGUUUGUUUUGGUACCCGUACCACACCAUCUUGAGGACUGUGGCUUUGUAAUAUCACCUGAAGUCUGGGAGAGUUAUGCCUCCUGUUUGCUUUUUGUUCCUCAGGAUUGCUUUGGCAAUACUGGGUCUUUUGUGGUUCCAUAUCGAUUUUUGGAUUGUUUGUUCUAGUUCUGUGAAAAAAUGUCCUGGGUAAUUUGAUAGGGAUUGCAUUGAAUCCAUAGAUUGCUUUGGGUAGUAUGGCCAUUUUUACAAUAUGAAUUUUUCUAACCCAGGAGCAUGGACUAUCUUUCCAUUUAUUUACAUUUUCUUUAUUUUCCUUGAUUAAUGUUUUAUAGUUCUUGGCAUAUAAGUCCUUUACCUCCUUGAUCAGGUGUAUUCCGAGGUAUUUUAUUUUUGGGGGGUGAAAUUUUAAAAGGUAUUUUAUUUUUGUAUUCCUUUUCUAAGAUUUCAUUGUUAAUGUACAGAAAUGUGACUGAUUUCUGAAUAUUAAUCUGACAUCAAAAGCAAAGAAUGUGGGGAGGAGAGGAUUAAGAUGGUGGAAUAGAAGGACUGGAGCUCAACUUCUCUCCUAAAAACAACAAAAUGCACAACUAAAAGCUAGGCAGUCUCCACCCAAAUGGACAGGAAACCUUAAAAAAGAUACCCUACUAAAGAAGAAAAAGAGGAGGCCACAUCAAGAGGUAGGAGGGGUGAUUUUGCAAUAUAAAAAACUCCAUACCUCCUGGGUGGGAAGUCCCACAGACUGGUAACUAACUGGUUUACAGAGACUCACCUACAAGAGUGAAAGUUCUGACCCCACAUCAAACCCUCAUGUGUGGGGCUCUAGCACAGGGAGAAAGAACCCCUGGAGCAUCUGGCAUUGAAGGCCAGUGGGGCUUUUGUGCAGGAACUCCAUGGGACUGGGAGAAAUGGAGACCCCAUUCUUAAAAGGCGCACAUGGACGUUCACGUGCACUGGAUCUCAGGGCAGAGCAAGGUCUCCAUAGGAAUCUGGGUCAAACCUAACUGCAGUUCUUGGAGGACAUCCUGGGAAAACAGGGGUAAAUAUGGCUUGUUGUGAGGGAAGAACAUUGAGAGCAAAGCUCUUGGGAAUAUUCAGCAGUGUGCCUUUCUCUGGAGGUGGCCAUUUGGCAAAAAUCUGGCGCCACCCAUCAGUCAUUUCUGAGAAGCCCCAGGGCAAACAACAAUUCAGGUGGGAUCACAACCCUGCCCCUCAGUAAACAGGCUACCUAAAGACCCCUCAGGCACAAAGAUGCCUCUAAUCCCAUCCAGAGACUAAGCCCCACCCACAAGAGGGACUAGAAUCUGCUUCACCUAGCAGUGGCCAGGCAUCAGACCCUCCUGUCAGGAAGCCUACAGCAAGCCCCCAUACCUACUUCGGCCACAAGGGGGGCAGACACCAGAAGUAAGAGAGGCUACCACUCUAUUAUCUGUACAAAGGUCACCACACCAAAAACCUAUAAAAAUAAAAAGACAGAGAACUAUAACUCAGAUGAGGGAGAAAGGAAAAACCCCAGAAAAGCAAUGAGGAGAUUCUUAAUCUUCAGGAAAAAGACUCUAGACUGUUGAUGUUGAAGAUGAUGCAAGACAUUGGAAAUCAACUGGAGGCAAAAUGGAUAACUUGCAAAGAGAUACAAGAUAUAAAACUUAAACAGGAAGAGAUGCAGAAUACAAUAACUGAAAUAAAAAAUUCACUAGAAGCAGCCAAACAGAAGAAUACAGGAGGCAGAAGAACAAAUAAGUGAGGUGGAGGACAGAUUAGUGGAAAUUACGGAUGCAGAACAGAAAAGAGAAAAAGGAUUGAAAACAAAUGAAGAGAGUCUCAGAGAACUCUGGGACAAUGUUAAAUGCACCAGCAUCUGUAUUACAGAGGUUCCAGAAGGAGAAGAGAGAGAGAAGGGGACAGAAUAAAUAUUCGAAGAGAUAAUAGCCAAAACUUCCCUCACAUGAGAAAGGAACCACUCAUUCAAAUCCAGGAAGCACAAUGAGUACUAUAUUUAAAAAAUCCCAAGGAGGAAUACACAGAGAGAUUAUUAAUCAAACUGACCAAAAUUAAAGACAAAGAGAAAAUCUUGAAAGCAGCUAGGGAAAUGAAACAAAUAACAUACAAGGGAACCCCAAUAAGGUUACUGGCAGAUUUUUCAGCAGAAACUCUGCAGGCCAGAAGGGAGUGGCAUGAUAUACUUAACAUGAUGAAAGGAAAAAACCUCCAACCAAUGUUACUUUACCCAUCAAGGCCCUCAUUCAGAUUUGAAGGAGAAAUCAAAACCUUCACAGAUAAGCAAAAGCUAAGAGAAUUCAGCAAUACUAAACCAGCCUUACAACAAAUACUAAAGGAUCUUCUCUAGGCAGAAAAGAAAAGAAAGCAACAGGAAACAAAAAUUCCUCAAAUGACAAGGCUGACCAGUAAAGGUAUACAUACAGUAAAGAUAUGAAAUCAUCCAUGCACAAUUAUACCACCACAAUCAGGAAUCAUGAAAAGAGGUGGGUACAAAUGCAGGACACUUGAGAUGAACUUGCAAUUAAGAAAAUAGCAACUUCAAAAAAUCUCAUAUACCUAUAGGCUCUUAUAUCAAAACUUUAGAAUAACUGCAAACCAAAAAUCUACAAUGGAUACACAAACAAGGAAUCUCUGGAGAAGAAAUACAUCUCAUAAUAAGUAAGUCCAUAAUCCACCACAAAAGGGUUAAUUUGACAUCAUUCUUGGAAUGCUGAAGUCUUCUUACAUCAGAUUCUGAUUUCCUCUCCAUCAAAGAAUUUAUGAUAAUUAUAAUUAAAUAAUGCAACUGUACAAUUAAAUAAUACAGUUCUACAAUUGUAUUAUUAAUAACCAUUUCUCUCCAUGGUACAAUGUAAGGUCUUAAUGUCUUAUCACAUCACCUAGAAUGGUGUAAUGCCUAUAUUGAAGAAUCAAUAAGAUGUAACAAAUUGUGAGGACAUAUUUUAUAGUUAUGCUGUUUUUUUAAACAAUUUAUGCAUUUUGUAUUUUACUUAUUUUCAGAGGGUGUAUUUUUGUUAUUCUUACCAUUUAAGUUAUUCUUUUUAUUAUGCUAUAUAAAAUAUUUAAUGGUAUAUAAGGCUUUCUUCUUUAUAAAUUUUAGUUGCAUAAUAUACACAAUUGUAAUAUAAUGCUAAUUUUUAAAGAAAAAUUGAAAUGUAGUAGAUAAUACUAAAUAGUAAAGAUGAAAGCCAUACAAAAUGGGAUAAAGUAUAGAAUAAAUUUCCUAUUUGUCUCAGCAUAUUUUCCAUUCCACUUCUCCAGAGGGAGUCACUUAAUUUGUUUCUUAAGAUCUAUGAUAUAAUAAUCUGUGUGAAUGUAAUUUUAUUUAAAUAUAUGUAUUUUAUGUUGUGAAAAAACAAAAAUAAAAUUUCACAAUAAAGAUAUACUUAUUAUUUAAAAAAGCAUACAAUGUGGGGAAGAAAAGUAAGAAAAUAUAGAUUAUUUUUUAUUUUAAUGAUGUGUUUGAGGCUAUAUGACUAUUAGGCUAAAGGAAGCAGAUGUAGGUAGGGUUUAACAUACUUAAAAAAACAGGACAACCACAAAUCAAACAUUGCAUUCACAAAAACUGAAAAGAAAAGUACUCAAGUAUAAAAUAAAUGGAAACCAUCCAACCCAAAAAAGAAAAGAAGAAAAGAGAAACUUAGAAUCAGCUGGAAAAUACGGUUUAAAAUGCCAAUAAAUACAUAUCUAUCAAUAAUCACCUUAAAUGUCAAUGGACUGAAUGCUCCAAUCAAAAGAUACAGAGUGGCAGAUUGGAUGAAAAAUCAAAAAUCUUCAGUCUGCUAUCUACAAAAUACUCAACUUAGGGCAAAUGACACAUAUAGAUUGAAAACGAGAGGAUGGGAAAAGAUAUUUCAUGCCAGUGGAUGAGGCAGAAAAGCAGGAGUUGCAGUACUCACAUCAGACACAAUAGACUUUAAAAUAAAGGUCAUAAAGAAAGACAAAGAAGGACACUAUCUAAUGGUUAAAUGAUCCAUUCAUGGAGAGGAUAUUACAAUUUUCGAUAUAUAUGCUCCUAAUAUAGGAGCACCCAGAUACCUUCAACAAAUACUAACAGACAUAAAAGGAGAAAUUGAUGGGAAUACAAUCAUAGUAGGAGACUUUAACACCCCACUCACAUCAAUGGACAGAUCAGAUCCUCUAACAGAAAAUCAAUAAGGCAACAGAGAUCCUAAAUGGCACAAUAGAAAAGUUAGACUUAAUUGAUAUUUUCAGUUCAUUACAUCCAAAAAAAAAUCAGAAUAUACAUUCUUCUCAAGUGCACAUGGAACAUUCUCAAGGAUUGAUCACAUACUGGGGCACAAAUGUAACCUCAGCAAGUUUAAGAAUAUAGAAAUUAUUUCAAGUAUCUUCUCUGACCACAAUGACAUGAAACUGGAAAUCAUCCACAUGAAAAGAAAUGAGAAAAAACUGACUACAUGGAGACUAAACAACAUGCUACUAAAAAAAAACCAAAGGGCCAAUAAGGAAAUAAAGAAAAAAAAAUAAAGAAUACCUGGAGACAAAUAAUAAUGAAGACACAUCAACUCAAAAUUUAUGGGAUGCCGCAAAAGCAGUGCUCAGAGGGAAUUUCAUAGCAACAUAGGCCUUCCUCAAAAAAGAAGAAAGAUCUCAAAUUGACAACUUAAUUCAUCACCUAAAUGAAUUAGAAAAAGAACAAACAAAACCUAAAAUCAGCAGGACGAAGGAAAUCAUAAAAAUCAGAAAACAAAUAAAAUAGAGAUUCAAAAAACAAUAGA